This is a non-coding RNA of Oryctolagus cuniculus (rabbit), 13656 nucleotides long. NCBI's taxonomy places the organism in Eukaryota, Metazoa, Chordata, Mammalia, Lagomorpha, Leporidae. The record is from RefSeq and is a predicted model, not a curated record.
AGUUAAUUCGCAUAGUACAACACAUUAAGGACAGAGGUCCUACAUGGGGAGCAGGUGCACAGUGACUCCCAUUGUUGAUUUAACAAUUGACACUCUUAUUUAUGAUGUCAGUAAUCACCCAAGGCUCUUGUCAUGAGCUGCCAAGGCUAUGGAAGCCUCUUGAGUUCACCAACUCCGAUCUUAUUUAGACAAGGCCAUAGUUGAAGUGGAAGUUCUUUCCUCCUUUCAGAGAAAGGUAUCUCCUUCUUUAAUGGCCCGUUCUUUCCGCUGGGAUCUCACUCACCAAGUUUUCUUUUUAAUUUCAGGCACAUGCAACUAAGAUAUGUGUCUCAUUUACCAGUUUCUCAAAUAAGUGCAUGGCAGACAAAUCUGGAGUCAGCCAUGGUUGAGACCUGGUCAGGCAGAAGUGGAAACAAUGGCUAUGAAUAGCAGAGGUCAUUGACUCAUGAGCAGGAAGGUUCAGUUUUAAUACAGAGUGAGUGUGAAAAGCAGAGCCAGUUUCAAUCUGGAAAGCUUGGGGAUGUGUUCCUUUGCAAUAGAGAAGCAUCCUGUCAUCAUAACAAGAAACCCACGAUAUUGACUGGCAUGGAAAAUACAAGGGCAGAUGAACAUUCCUAAGAACAGCAUGCCCUAGAAACCAGCAGUAGAUGCCAAUCACAUUGUAAGCCCCAAGUACCUCUCAGGGUAGGUAUUUCAUGGUAGGAGCUAAAGCCCAUAACUUAUGAAAUUUUUAGAUAAUAGUAAAACCAUGAGGACUGGUUUAUGAGACACUCUAAGGAAUUUGAAAACUGCUAUUGUUCACAAUUUGUGUGGGUGUUUGUGAUACACACUCUCCCAUCUUUCUCAACUUUGUAUAGCAAGAGAUCUUGGUUAGUGUUGUGAGAAGAGUGAGUUGGUAGUGGAAGACAUCAUUUAUCUUUAUCCACAAAAUCAAACCAUCCUGAAAAUGUUCUUGGAUGGCUAUGCCAGGGCUGUAUUUUUCCAUCACUUUCUAACUUACUCUUCCUUUUUUCCAAUCCUCUUUCUCCCCUAGCUGUACCAGACAUGUUUCAUGUUACUUUAGUGCUCACAAGCAUUUGUGGUUCCCAUUAUCUACGUAGAGAAGUUCACUCUCUCCCCCGACACACAUCCUCUUUGAAAAAUGUAAGCCAUUCAGAAAGUAAGUCUUAAUCUUAAUCUCAUCUUGCACUUUGCCUUUGUAUGUGUUUUCCUCUCCUACCACUUGGUUCUCUUGGAAGGACCCUGAAUACACUACACCAUAGCAUGCUGUUUGAAGCCGCUUCCCAGUAUUUAAUCCCCGUUUACGGUUGACAGACUGUUCAUGGCCCAAUUAAAGUUCCUUCUCCGUUCUUAAAGUCUUUUCAGUCUACAGUGAUAUUUUCCCCUAGGAACUAUUAUGACUUCUCCCCCUAAAUUGAUGGCCUACAGUCUCAUGUAGGGAGAUAACAUGUAUAAUUUCUUAGCAUUCUACAGGAAAGGAAAGAAUAAAAAUAACUAUCUUAUACUGUUAUUUAAUUUUGAGUAUGUGUAUGUUUCAUUUCCUUAGUAAGGUUAUAAAUGUUUUGAACUUUUGUCUAUCUUAUUUUAUUUGCAAACUCCACAGUGCAGUGUACAGCCAUGUAAAUACUUGCUAAAUAGCAAAUUCAUUCUCAACGACAGUGAUUUUCUUUUUGGAAACCCUAGAGGUGCCCCCACAUACUUUCAGGGGAUCUGAAAUUUUCAUGAUAAUACUAAGAUAUUAUUUUCCCUUUUCACAUUUAUCACAUGUCCUAUAGAGCUUUCCAGAGGCUAUAUAAGUAGUAACAUUGUAGCAGACUACCUGUGUAAGCAGAUGUGAGAAACCAGUUAUCUUUUCCUAUGAAACAUUUAACAGAUUGGUAAAAAUGCAAAGUAACACUUUUCUCACUGAAUUUUUGAGUUUGAAAAUAUAGUAAUUUUUCAUAAAUAUGUCAUUCACAGUGACAGUGACAUGUAAUGGAUUUAUCAUGGUUAUUUUAAUUUGAAUAAAUAAGUAAUGAGUAAAUAUAUACUUUAUAAAUUCUCAAUUGGAAUUUAGAUUUUAUUAAAUAUAGAUAAAUAUAAACCACACCAAAAAAAAAAAAACCCUAUGGAUUCAGUGGCAAAUUCUUUUAUAAGCAGCUAACUUUUUUUUUUAAAUUUUGUUUACUUAUUUUCAUCUACUUGAAAGGCAGAACAACAGAGAGAGAGAAAAAUCUUCUAUCUACCGGUUCACUCCCUAAAUGGCCACAACAGACAGGGCUGGGCCAGGCCAAAGGCGGGAGACAAAAAUUCCACUCAGUUCUCCCAUGUGAAUGGCAGGGAUCCAAGUACUUGGGCCAUCAUCCUCUGCCUCCCAGGCUCGUUAGGAGGAACUUAGAUCAGAAGUGGUGGAGCUGAUACUGCUAUGUGGGAUGAGGAUGUCCCAAGAGGCAACUGAACCCACUGCAGCUCAGUUCCCACCACCAGUAAUUCCUAAGAGUGCAGAAGGUCCUGAAUCUACAGUGUGAAGACUUGCUGCUCAAGCAGAGUUCGUGUUUCUCUGUGAAAGUUCAAGUCAGGGAGUGGAUAACAUGAGCCCUGGCAAAGUGAAAGGGCUGAGGGAGACAUCACCACGCCUGUGACUAGAGACUGGAGAUGCCCAGGACAGAAACUGCAGCGUGUUUCCUGUGAUGGACGUGACUUGGCGGUUGAAAUGUCUUAUCUUCAGGGAAGUUGGUUCAGGUAUUUCUUCAACAAUAACAUGCCCUCACCUUGUUCAACUCCAUGCUAUGUAUUUUAGCUCUUCCCAUGAAUUAGAAAUUGACAUAAACGAUUGUCUAAAGUCAGAAGUUCCUUAUUCUCAUCUUAUCUUACUCUUACCGAUAGUAGGCACGUUUCAUGUUCUUUCAUUUACCUGCAUCUUACGCCAUUUUGCAAUUUCAGAAGGUGAAGUACAGCACUAUGGAUUUCAAAACACUGACACUAAAAUACAAGAGCCUAAUGCCUGCGUAGUGAAGAAUAUGAGUGUAGCACUCUUCCAUAUUCCCUGCAUGUAUGAACUCUCUUAAUUCACUAGAAACUUUAUGGCAUAAAUAGUCCUAUUACUCCUGCUUCACACAUAAGGCAACUAAAGAAUGUGGAGAUUCAAUAGCUAACUGAAGUUACUCUCCUAAUAAAGAAUGCAGCCACAAUUCAUACAGGCAAUCUGCCUCUGGGGCACCUAGCAUAGAAUAGUACCUUGUCCAUUUUUUUAAAAAAUUAUUGUUCAUUGGAGAGACAGAGAGAAAGGGAGGGGGGAGAAGUCUCUUUUGCAGCUUGUUCACUCCCCAUUUGCACACAACAACCAGGGCUGGGCUAGGCCUAAGUCAGGGCUGGAACUCAAUCUAGGUCUGCCAUGUGAGUGACAAGGACUCCAGUAUUUGAAGCAUUACCUGCUGCCUGUCAUGGUACGCAUUAGCAGGAAGCUGGAAUAAGAAGAGGAUCCCGGAUGGAAGCCGGGAACUCUGAUAUGGGAUGCAAGAAUCCCAAGUCCCUUCUUCAGGCUGCAGCAAACACUCUGCUCUGCGAACUUUGUGAACACCUGGAGCCCCAUUUAGAGCUGCAGUUAUUUCUGAUGCUCUAAAUUGUAUGUGAGGCUAUGAAAUGUGAGACGUUAUGACUCAAUACUCGCAAGACAUUGUUGUAAUUGGUAAGCAAAGUUGAUGUGGAGGGAAGUGACAAGGAUGAAAAGUGCUGAGCUCAGAGAUGAUUGCAUCAUGUUCUGGCUGUGGAACUAAGGGUCCAGAAAGAUUAACAUGGAUAUCUAUUCUUUGACAGCUGCUGUAACGUCAAAUCUAGGUUCUAUCCCUGCCAGGACUUUGUUCUGGCACAGACUUUUCAUCCUCCUGGGAACAGAUGAUGGGUGGAAUCAUUUAGCAUAUAGGGUGUGACUUGCUUUUCUCACCAAAUGUUUAUUUGUGUAAUCAGCCCCACUCAUGCAAUUAAUUAUUUUGAAACAGUGUACCUAAAAAUCCUCAUCCAUCUAGCCUGUUCCUCUUGCACAAAGUUUACUCAAUGAAGAAACUGCUUUGAGUUUGUUGUAUUUUGGGCCUCAGAAAUCUAAUUGAGUAAUGCCAGGAGGUAACCAGAUGUGCAGGACCAGCAUUAGCAGUGUCCUUCCUGGUGGGCCUUCCCCUGUGAAGGUCUAAGGCCUAAGACACUUGAGCAUGCACAGUCUGUUGGUUCAAGGAACAUGAGGGGAUCCCUGUCUAGGACAGUGAGAAGGGCUCAUGGCUCUGGGUGGGGAGAGACACGCACUUUGUAACUUGUUCACUUCCUCUUUGUUUUCCAUGUUAAGAUUUUUAUGGAUAAACUCAGAGCUCCUAAUGAGUUGUCAAGCAUUGCAUAUUUCUACUUUCCAGCCAAGCUUUUGAGAUUUGUAAUGGGUGGUAUGUGUGAUUGAGGGGAAAAAACGAACAAACAGAAGAAAACCAGAAAAGAAAGCGGUUCAAUAUGGCAACAGAGCUCAGAUGGUAACAUGCAGAGGUAAGGGUGACCUCCAGUGCAAUUCAGGGUGAGUCCCAACACUGGGAAUGGUGAAGAAGCUUCUCAAUUCCAAGACAGGGGUUCUAUUCUUAAGAUCUAGGCUUCCAGGAUAAGAAAUGUAGGAGGAAACAGCCAGUAGAUACAUUUACGUGCUUGUAGGAGAUGCUUACCAAGACUGGCAUGCCUAGAAAACUUUAUUUAAAAUUUUUUUUUAUUCUGAAAGGCAGAGCUAUACAGAGAGAGGGGGAGUCGGAGAGAGAGAGAGAGGGAGAGAGUGAGAGAGAGAGAGAGAGGAAAAGACAAUCUUCCAUCCUCUUGUUCAUUUCCCAAAUGGCUGCAACAGCCAGGUCUGGGUAAAGCUGAAGUCAAGAGCCAAGACCUCCAUUCACAUUUCCCACAUGUUGGGUAGCAGGAGUUGAGCCAUCCUCCACUACCUUCCCAGGCACAUUAGCAGGAAACUGGAUUCAGAAGCAGAGCCGCCAGGACUUGGAUUGGCACUCUGACAUGGGAUGCAGGCAUUGAAAGUGGGGCUUAACACAAUGCACCACAAUGACAGCCCCCAGAACAUUUUCUGAUUAUAGCUUUCACAAAAAUAUUAUCUCUCUGCUUUACUAAUCAAUGCUAUGCCUGUACCAUUAAAUGGGUUUUAUGAUCUUUAUUAGAUAGGAUAUCUUUAUUAUAUAGGAUAUCUUAUUUGAGGCCUGCAUUGUGGCACCAUUGGAACACUGGCUCGAGUCUUGGCUUCAUACAUAUAGCAAUAUUUCUAAUUCAGCUUCCUGAUAAUGUGCCUGGGAAAGUAGUGGAAGACAAUCUACAUGCUUUAGUCCUUGCUACUUAAAUGAGAGACCCAAAUGGAGCUCUUGGUCCUGACGGGCCUGGCUCAGCUCUGGGUCGCGUUGUGAGCCAAAGGAUGAGAGAUCCUUUUCUCUCUCUGUCAGUCACUCUGUGCUCCAAAUUAUAAAUGAAUAAAUCUUUUAAAAAAGAAUAUCUUCAUUUGGGAAAGAUCUAUUCUUAGUUCAAUUUUAUAGGAAAGGAAUCUUUAAAGAAUGGAAAUUUCUCUGUAAGAUAAACAUGGAUACCAUGGCAGAUACUUCAUAAAUCAUCUCUCUCUAAUUUUGAAGAUUUAGUAAUUAUAGUCAAUCUAGUUUUCUUUUGGAAACAAAGUUAAUACUUGCAGAUAACCGUAAAAAGCUUAUUAGUCAAUAACCUCCCUAUGGUUUUACUCUGUUGUGACAUCAUCAUGGUUCAGGUCUGAGAGAAUAGUACAAUUAAUACUCAUAAACAUGAAAUGCAAACAUUUAUGCAUUUAUAUUGAGACAUGUCAUUCCUAAUUAAAAAUAUACAGCCUUAUUGAUAUUAUCAUUACCAGAAUAUUCAAGUAAUCUGUCAGUAUAGUUCAAGGGGUGAGAUUCACUUUUAUUUCUAGAAUAAAUUUAUAAGCACCCUUUAAUUAGUUACUUUCCUAAUUGCAAAUUCUAUCUUCUAUAUAUUUGAAAUAUUCCAUGAUGUUUUCAAAAACAACUACUAGUUGGAAAAAUACCACACUGUGUCUAGUUGGUAUUUAAAGCUUUUGUUAUUCUCUAUUCUCUCAUGAACUCAGCAACCCUAGUUGCUUAGCUACCCAGUCUACAUUUUUCUCUUGUUAACUUACCAAGUUGAAAUUCUCUUUUGUGACAUUCAACAUUUUUCUUAUGACUUUCAUAUUCUAGCUGAAAGUGAUUAUAUCUGCAUCUACUUAAAAUUGAGUCCUUAGAUUACUGUGCUUUUAAAUAUUUAACUAAGUUAUAAGCACAUAGCAUUCAGAAGGACCUUCUUUGAAGGAAUGAAAACUAACCGUUGGAAAAAUAAAUGUGAAUUUCUUUCUCAAAAAAUUUUGCUAUUUUAAUCAUUGCUCAUUCUUAGUACAAUGAUGCUUUUCCUCUGUACAUUGGUGAUGGUAAGCUGUUCCCAAGGUGUUUCCAACAUCUGGCUGAAAUUGUAUGUAGCACCUGAGAGGGUCUGGCUGGGGUCUUGGGCAGAGCUCUGAGCCUGAGCACAGAGUUUAGAAACUUCUCUGGAAGUGAGCUGAGGCCUACAGGUGCUUUUCUGUGAGGAAACAAAGCUUGGCUGAAGAUGUAGUGGAGGCAGAAACUUUGACAUAGGAACAGGCAGAGUAGCAGGCUGGCAUUUAAAAGCAGGCUGAGAUAGUCUGACAACAUAAAUGAGGGUCCUGUGCAUGAGAUGGGCCCAGACUAACUUAAAAGGAACUCCAUACAAGACAGCAGGACCUGUGAGUGGGACAAGCUGUAUGAAGCUUUCUGUGUGGCUGCCAGAAAUUGUGGUGUUACGUAGCACGGGUGACUGCACAGGGUGACCCUGCUGUGUCAUGCACUGUACCACUAUCACUGUCACUCCUCACGCUGUCCCAGAAGGACUUUUCCUUGUCCUACUGUAAGUUUAUUUUUGGAAUAUUCUUAUUCUUGGAAUAUACUUAUUCUUGGCAUAUACUUAUUCUUGGAAAAUAUAAAGCAAUAUUUAAUAGAUAUAAAUAUAUAAAUAUAUACACAUAUAUAAAGAAUUUGUGGAUAAUUUUUCAUAAUAUGCAUUUCUAUGAAAUUUUUGAGGAGAAAUGAGUAAACUGAAUAGGGAUAGUAUACAACCAUUGCAACCCAUUGACUUUCAGAAAUGACAAAGGAGUUGACAGUGAAUGGACAUUUCUCCCCUUAGAAACUCAGGAAGUAAGGUCAUGUAGCUGACAUGUCACAAAACCCAGGACAGAGUCUCUUUGGACUGGAAUGAAAAAAGACUAGGAGGAAGAGAUAAAAGAUCCUUGAGCCAAGGAAGUGCCUGGAGCUGGUGCCCAUCAGGCCUGGAGUAAGGUCUGAGCAUCAGCAUCCACUGAGGAAGGAAGCAGAUGAUACCGGGGACCAUCAUGCCUUGUUUUCACUCACAUGGAAUCAAGGUUUCAAUGCUAUUUAAAUUUAAAAGAUUGUUGUAGUGGGCACUGUACUUAUUGCUUAUUUAGUUUCUGAAAGUUUUUUUUUUUUUUUUUGCCUUUGCAACUUUAAGACACAUCGUCAAGGUAAAGAGGAAGAGUGGUUUGUUUAAAAUAAACAAGGUCAGGGAAGAGAUUGGGAAACAAUAAAGACUCUUCAUCAGGGCUGUGACUAAGGCAGUCACCCACGGAAGGUGAGAGGUGUUGGGAAGACGCCGCCGCCACGUUGGCAGACUCUGCAUGAGCUCAGAAAGGUGAUAGGGACCUGGCAAUGCGUGGGGAGGGAACGCCCUCCACCCAACCCUGAGAUACAAAUUUGUAAGGGAUCUAUUACCCAAAUAAAUUGUUGAUCCUUAAAGAUAAUCCCAGCUGAUUAAACGCUGGCUAAGAAAGAUAAGUGGCAAAAAGAAUGCUCUGUGAAGCCACACCUUUGACAUUGGAUUGUGUGUUUGAUAUAUUUUCACUCAUUCUAAGUUUGUGUCACUUGAAAUUUGGUGUUGAGAUAAUAAGAAACAAUUUCCUGAUAGCUAUAUUAAACUCAGUAAUCUUCUUCACCUUGCCUAAGUGAUUUAUUUCCAACUCAUUUGAUAGCUUUAGAGUCUUGUCUUCAAUGGCACAGUUUUAGAGUUUGUGGAGGAAAAGUUUUUUCUCCACACAAUUGUGGGGCUUUUUUUUUUUUUUUAAAAAAAUUAUAUAAUGAACCUUCUUUUCAAAUCCAUGCACAGCAGCCUCUUAUCUCAAAUAAUUCUCAGUUGGUCAUCACCUCCCAUAGAUUUUUUGUCUCAGAAGUCUUCCAUACAUUUGCUGAUUAACAGCCAAGUAGUUUCUGCCCACGCUCUGGCUCCCUAGCUAGCCUCUCAUUAUCUCCUUUUCUGGAAGAUUUGGAGGUUGUAAUUAUGACACUGCUACUACUCAAUUCUGCCAUUUUCUUGCCUUUUCUAAUCGCAAUGUCUGCUCAUUUGCUCACCAAUUAUUUUCCACCUCCAUCGUCCUUGGGAAGGCCAGGAUCAGGUAUGAAAUAUUAUAUAAUCACCCCCGCCCCAUGCUCAGAUUCUGCCUCUCUGGAUUCAAGCAACAUAAGACACAGGAGGGUAUGCCAUUACUGGUGUAUACUAUGUAAUUAGGGCUUGUCACCAUUCUUUAAACAACACAUUGUACAACCAUUUACAUACCAUUCACGUUGUAUUAAGUAUUGUACAUAUACUCGAGAUGACUUAAAGUAUAUGGGUAGAUGCAUUCUACGCAAAAACUACGUCAUUUUAUACAGAGGAUUUAAGCAUCUUCAGGUUUUGGUAACCCAUGUAAGUCCUGGAACCAAUCUCUGUGGAUACUGAAGAAAGACUGCAUAGGCUACCUGCACUUCCUGUGACUUGAGGAAGAGUGAGUCCCUAGGACGCUGAAGCCACACUGAAACAACAGGUGUGCCAUAAGCAGAUGAUCCCACUGAGCCUAUGACUCACAGAGAUUCAGGAUAUCUGUGGAAUUGUAGUACCAUCUUUUAGACUCGAUAUUUAGAGCCAACCCAUACCAUCUUCUGGAGUCAUUAAUAAUAGUUGUUCUCUGUGAUAUGAAGGUAAUUCUCUCCGUCAUGACACACCAAGACUAUAACCACUUCAGAAAUCUCAGACCAAAUGUGUAUAUUUUUGCGCAGUUUCUGAAUACUGGACUUUAUAGACCAUUUUUUUAAAGGAACAAAUUUCCUUGCUUGAUUAUGUGAACCACUUCCACAUAGGAAAAACUGAUAUUUCCAGAAAAUCAGAAUGCACAGUACCAAACCAGUCUUUAGGAGGAUUCACAGCAGAAGGAAAUGACUACAGGUGGGAUUUUCAAGACUUUAAAAUAUUGGCCAGAGUGGCUCCACUUCAUUACUGGCUGUUAUGCUAUAAUGGAUGGUAAAGAAGCAGGAACAUGGAGGAGAAACACAGACAAGAAAUUUUCUUAAUUUUUAUGAAUAAUCUAAGUGGCAUUAGAUUAACAUAUCAUCACACUUGAGCAUUAUUUCAGCAAUAACACAUUUUGAGAAAAUCUUUUUAUUGCUCACUAUAUAUAAUUUGUUCAUAUAAAAGCAUUAUCUUAGAAUGUUUGAGCUACAAGGAAAUCAAUAACCAUGUUUUUAAGAUUUACAAGAAAGUGGGCAGGAGCUGGCUUUGUGGCACGGGGGUUAAGUCACCACUUACAACAUAAGCAUCCCAUAUCGGAUUGCCAGUUUGAGACCUGGAUACUCUGCUUCCUACCCAGCUUCCUGAUAGUGUGCCUGGGAAGUCAGUGGAAGAUGACCCAAGUGCUUGGGAUCCUGCAGUCCACAUGGGAGACCCGAAUAGAGAUCCAGGCUGCUGGUUUCCGCCUGGCCCAGAUUGGGCUGCUGCAGUCAUUUGGAGAGACCCACAGGGAGGCAUCAAGAGCAUGUGUGUACAUAGCAGCAAAAAUAUGAAGAUGCAGCAAAAGGACAGUCCUAGGCAAGUCCUCAGAAGAUCGCCACAUUGUCACCUCUUGUCCUUGGACUUCCACCCUCCAGGCUGUGAGAACAGAAACCUGUACAUUUCACACCUGCAUCUGUGUUUUGUUUUUGUUUUUGUUUUGUUAUGAGAGCCUCCACAAACAUACUUAUAAGGUAUCCAACAAAUUUUUAUGUUUUUAAUCAGGUAGAAUUCUGUGAUGUAGAAAGAAGGCACCACUGUCUUAAACCUGUCCUAACUCUAUGUAUAUAUUUACUGACCACUUAACACAACCUGCAUGGCUUGGAGGGAGGUUGCUUGAAGGGUGGGAGAGCAGAUUAGGUGAAUCCUCUCCUUUAUAAAGCUUUGCUGUUUAUUGUGUGUUGGGUCUGCUCUUCAUGGAACAGGAGUAGCUAUUUUAUCACUUCUAAUAAUUACUAUUUAAGAGUUUCGUUUCCAUGAAAUCGGCAUUUGCUAGAAACAUAUCAAACACAAACAUGGAUUUGAUUUUACAAAUAAAGAAAACUUGCAUCAGAAAGGUGUGAAAACUUUAAGGCACAGUUAAUGAGAAAUCACUUUAUAUCUGUGAUGAUCGGUACAUCAGAACAGGGACUAAUGAGUGUAUUUGUGUGUGUUGGAUGGGAUAUAGCAAUAUUGGAUAAGGCCUGUGUAUGAGUUGUUUAUGAUGUGAUAUGAAGAGAAAAAUGAAAAUUAAAACAUUACCUAUAUUAGGCCGCUUGAGCAGAAAACUACAAAUAUUGUGUCUUAUCACAGACCAUGCAAGAAAACUAGCUGUUCAUCCCCUAGGGCAGAAAGCUCAAGGCUCAGAGUUGGUGGUGAUGCAGAGUGCCUUCCCUUGAUGUUCACGGAGAAUUGGAAAAGUUUCUUCUUGUCUCCCCUCACACAGCUGGUGAUCAAUGCUUAGCAUAUCCCAGUAAAAGAGUGUGCUCUGAGGCCCUUGAAUCACAGAUCCAAAUGGUGAGCCUUAGACAAACGGCAAUACUAUUUUUCAAAGUGGCCAAAUAAGCUAUUGUCAAGAGUGUAUACUAUAGGAAAAACGUGAGCGAUGGGGAUGAUGAUCAAUCUAGAGUGAAUGUAAACAAAGCUGAAGUGGCUCUUAGGGCUUUGGCAUGUCUACUCAGACUAGCAUUUCUCCUGCUUGGAUUCAAAUUCCCAUGUGCAUUCAAGUGCACAGAAGCCAAAACCGAUUUGGGUAGAGAAGGGCACAGAAGAGGAGAUGGAAUGUCCUCAUUUGCUUACAUAUUAGUCAAUUGACUAAACAACUGAAGUUGUUCAGGUUAGCAUGAAUUAAUUUCUUUUUUUUUUAGUAUUUUAUUUAUUUAUUUGAGAGGUAGAGUUACAGACAGUGAGAGGGAGAGAUAGAGAGAAAGGUCUUCCGUCCGUUGGUUCACUCCCCAAAUGGCUGCAAUGGCCAGAGCUGCACCGAUCUGAAGCCAGGAGCUUCUUCCAGGUCACCUACAUGGGUGCAGGGGCCCACGGACCUGAGCCAUCUUCUCACUGCUUUCCCAGGCCAUAAGCAGAGAGCUGGAUUGGAAGAGGAACAGCUGGGACUCAAACUGGAGAAUUAACCUACUGCACCACCGUGCUGGCCCCCCUGAAUUAAUUUCUGAUCCUUGUGAGUUGACCAAUAUUGGGUACUGUCGGAAUGUCAGAUGUUGUCCUGUUGCCAGCAUGUUCCUGGUGAAAAUAGUGCCACAUGAGCAGGUCAGCAGUCUGCCUGGGAAGCAGAGCUUUUCUGUUCAUUAGGGUCUGAAUUGCAGUGACACCAGAGUCAGCAAUCUGAAUCUUGAAAUUGACAGAUAUUUAACCAGAACGUUCCCUAGAGAAUAGCAGCUUGUUAAGAAGGGUGGACUCAUAACUCUUUCAGGGAUAAUAAGCUUGUUAUUUACACUUUCUGGUUGGAGUGAACUUCAGUUCAUCAUUGCCAUUUGUCCCAUGGAGACAACAGUAGGAAGUUAAUGUCUAAACCAAACACAGUUAGGAUGUGGCUGACCUCAUUGGAAUGAAUGAAGAAUGGGAACACACAGUUACAUUGUGGCAGUUUGGAAAUUUUCGACAUAUUAAACAAAACUACAUUAUAGUGGUGGGUUUAGUUUGUUAAACAAAAAGGGAAAUCGUUUCAUAUGAAUGAAAAUCAUGACUUGCCUCUUCAAGUGUUUUUGCACCUAAUUACAUAAACGGUUAGUAUCUUCCUCUUUGCUUACCUAAUCACCAGAUAGGUUUGAUAAGGUGCUCAUUGGAGUGCUACUGCACUUAGCAGGGUCUUCUCCCUGCAUUGAUCAUUUAUGAGACCAAGCAUGUUCAAAUGUGGAAAUGAAGCACAAAUAGGGUUUAGGUGUUUUUUGUUUUUUGUUUUUUUAAUUUUUUACAGGCAGAGUAGACAGUGAGAGAGAGAGAGACAUUGAGAAAGGUCUUCCUUUUGCUGUUGGUUCACCCUCCAAUGGCCGCUGCGGCCGGCGCGCUGUGGCCGGCGCAUCACGCUGAUCCUAAGGCAGGAGCCAGGUGCUUCUCCUGGCCUCCCAUGCUGGUGCAGGGCCCAAGCACUUGGGCCAUCCUCCACUGCACUCCCGGGCCACAGCAGAGAGCUGGCCUGGAAGAGGGGCAGCCGGAACAGAAUCCAGUGCCCCGACCGGGACUAGAACCCGGUGUGCUGGCGCCGCAAGGUGGAGGAUUAGCCUAUUGAGCCAAGGCGCCGGCCAGGGUUUUCGUUUUUUAAUCCGAAUGGCAGGGAGACAGAAAGAGAUGGAAAGUGGGAGCCAGAGCUACAGUGAGAGAGCCAGAGUGAGAGAGAGAGAGAGGGAGAGAGCGAGAGAGCGAGAGAGACUUUCCAUCCACUAGUUCAACUUCUAAAUGUCUGCCAAGGACAGAGCUGGGGCCAGGAGCCAGGAACUCAGCCCAUGUCUCCUACGUGGGUGGCAAGAGAGCAGCUAUCUGAGCCAUCAUUGCUGCCUCCCAGAAUCUACACUGGUGGAAAGCUACAGUCAGGAGCCAGAGUUGGGAACUGAACCCGGCACUCACCGAAUGCAGCAGUGUUAACUGCUAGACCAAACACCCACUCUUUCAACACAUGCAGCUUUAAUUAAUUCUCAUAGUGAAGAAGCACUAUAUAUUACAGAUGUGUGAUAAUUUAAUUAUUUCUUACCUUAUCGAUGCAUAUAUACUUCUUGAAAAAACCUCCAUUGGUAAAGAACAGCCUGACAGGUCUGCUUUUAUGUUUUUGUGGGUUAGAUUUUUAAUUCGUUUACCCCUCCAAGAAUAUGCGAAACAAUUUGAAAUUUAGAGAAAGUUGCAAAUCCAAGGAACAUAGAGGAGGUUCUGAAAUAGCAUCACUAUUUCCCAAAUACUCUGACUAUUUGCUACAGAUAAAGUCAUUCUCCUUAUCUAACCAAAUGCAACUAUUGGUAUCAAGAAAUUAACAUUGAAUCACACAACUGAUAUUAAUAAAUAGUACUAUGAUACUAUCUAAUCUUGAUUCAAACUUUGCCAGAUGUCAUAAUAACUUUCCUUCUUAGCAAAGAGAUCCAGUUGCAAAUUACAUUCAGAAUUUAGUUAUGUUUUUUCACCCUUAUUCAUUUUUGAAAGAGUUCCUAAGUCAUUUCUUGAUAUUCAUAAAGAUUUCAGUUCCAUUAAUCAGACCAAGGUUCUGAACAAGCUCAGCAAUAUUGGAUGUUUGUAGGUAAAGUUAUUUUUUCCAUAAAUGAAUAUAAAGUGAUGCCUGUGUUG